AGGGCCAUAGCUCAGUGGUAGAGGACAUGCUCUACAUGGAAAAGGUCCCAGGUUCAAUCCCUGGUGUCUCUA
Non-coding RNA from Podarcis lilfordi (Lilford's wall lizard), 72 nucleotides. The record is from the annotation of a GenBank genome assembly. Lineage: Eukaryota; Metazoa; Chordata; Lepidosauria; Squamata; Lacertidae.